This 586-nucleotide small RNA is filed under the name Buellia lauri-cassiae. RNAcentral's name for it is "eukaryotic LSU rRNA". The stretch from base 181 to 334 matches the Rfam family "5.8S ribosomal RNA". The record is from RNAcentral. Lineage: Eukaryota; Fungi; Ascomycota; Lecanoromycetes; Caliciales; Caliciaceae.
CAUUACCGAGAGACGGGGUCUAAUGGGCCCCACUCUUCACCCGUGAAUACAUACCAUUGUUGCUUUGGCGGGCCACCGCGUUGGCGUCGGCUCAGGGGUCGGUCCCCCGAUCCGGCGAGCGCCCGCCAGAGGCCACGAGAUUCUUAGUAGCGUCGUCUGAACAAACAAGCAAAACAGUAAAACUUUCAACAACGGAUCUCUUGGUUCUGGCAUCGAUGAAGAACGCAGCGAAAUGCGAUAAGUAAUGUGAAUUGCAGACUUCAGUGAAUCAUCGAAUCUUUGAACGCACAUUGCGCCCUCUGGUAUUCCGGGGGGCAUGCCUGUCCGAGCGUCGUUACCCCACUCAAGCCUGGCUUGGUCAUGGGUCCUCGCCCCCUGUGGCGUACCCGAAAUACAGUGGCAGCCCACGGUGGACCCUCGAGCGUAGUAAGAUUUCAAUAUCCCGCUCUGCAGGCGUCAUCUGGUCCCGCCAAAACACCCCAAACUCAACGAUUGACCUCGGAUCAGGUAGGGAUACCCGCUGAACUUAAGCAUAUCAAUAAGCGGAGGAAAAGAAACCAACAGGGAUUGCCUCAGUAACGGCGAG